CCUCUCGAGGCAACUCGGAUUUUAGGGUCGCUGUGCUGUACAAGUCGGCUUUCCUUUCAUUUCCAAGACUAUGUUUUUAUAUACACCAAUGUAUGUUUAAAGAAUGUCAUCAAUAGGAACUUGUUUCCUAUAUAAUUAUACAACUUUCAGCAACGGAUCUCUUGGCUCUCGCAUCGAUGAAGAACGCAGCGAAAUGCGAUAAGUAAUGUGAAUUGCAGAAUUCAGUGAAUCAUCGAAUCUUUGAACGCACCUUGCGCUCCUUGGUAUUCCGAGGAGCAUGCUUGUUUGAGUGUCAUUAAAUUCUCAACCUUCCAGCUUUUUAUAAGCUUGGUUAGGCUUGGAUGUGGGGGUUGUGGGCUUCAUUAAUGAGGUCAGCUCUCCUUAAAUGCAUUAGCGGAACUUUUGUGGACCGUCUAUUGGUGUGAUAAUUAUCUACGCCGUGGAUGUGAAGCAGAUUUAUGAAGUUCAGCUUCUAACCGUCCAUUGACUUGGACAUUUUUGACAAUUUGACCUCAAAUCAGGUAGGACUACCCGCUGAACUUAAGCAUAUCAAUAAGCGGAGGAAAAGAAACUAACAAGGAUUCCCCUAGUAACUGCGAGUGAAGCGGGAAAAGCUCAAAUUUAAAAUUCUGGCAGUCU
This 639-nucleotide ribosomal RNA is filed under the name uncultured fungus. RNAcentral's name for it is "eukaryotic LSU rRNA". The stretch from base 142 to 295 matches the Rfam family "5.8S ribosomal RNA". Lineage: Eukaryota; Fungi. The record is from RNAcentral.